CCUACGGGUGGCAGCAGUGAGGAAUAUUGGUCAAUGGGCGCAAGUCUGAACCAGCAACGCCGCGUGCAGGAUGACGGCUCUCUGAGUUGUAACCUGUUUUUGUACGGGAGUAAAGCACGAUACGUGUCUUGGGUAGAAAGUAUCGUACGAAUAAGGAUCGGCCAACUCCGUGCCAGCAGCCGCGGUAAUACGGAGGAUCCGAGCGUUAUCCGGAUUUAUUGGGUGUAAAGGGUGCGUAGGGGGGGUGAUAAGUUAGAGGUGAAAUGUCGUGGCUCAACCCCGAAACUGCCUCUGAUACUGUUGGACUAGAGUAUAGGUGCGGUAGGCGGAAUGUAUGGUGUAGCGGUGAAAUGCGUAGAGAUCA
This 364-nucleotide ribosomal RNA is filed under the name uncultured bacterium. Its description in RNAcentral is "partial 16S ribosomal RNA". It matches the Rfam family "Bacterial small subunit ribosomal RNA", at positions 338 to 699 of the family's 1533-position model. The record is from RNAcentral.